UAUAUGAAUCUCGGCAAAGGAUAUCUCGGCUCUCGCAUUGAUGAAGAAUGUAGUGAAAUGCGAAACUUGGUGUGAAUUGCAGAAUCCCGUGAACCAUCAAGUCUUUGAACGCAAGUUGCGCCCGAGGCCUUUCGGUUGAGGGCACGCCUGCCUGGGCGUCACGC
RNAcentral lists this ribosomal RNA (164 nucleotides) under Lilium nanum. RNAcentral's name for it is "5.8S ribosomal RNA". It matches the Rfam family "5.8S ribosomal RNA". From Rfam's summary of the family: 5.8S ribosomal RNA (5.8S rRNA) is a component of the large subunit of the eukaryotic ribosome. It is transcribed by RNA polymerase I as part of the 45S precursor that also contains 18S and 28S rRNA. The record is from RNAcentral. Lineage: Eukaryota; Viridiplantae; Streptophyta; Magnoliopsida; Liliales; Liliaceae.